GCUUAACUCCUGGCUUGCGGUGGAUACGGGCAGACUUGAGUUCGGUAAGGGAGACUGGAAUUCCUGGUGUAGCGGUGAAAUGCGCAAAUAUCAGGAGGAACACCGGUGGCGAAGGCGGGUCUCUGGGCCGAUACUGACGCUGAGGAGCGAAAGCGUGGGGAGCGAACAGGAUUAAAUACCCUGGUAGUCCACGCCGUAAACGUUGGGCGCUAGGUGUGGGGAUGGGUUCCACUGUUUCCGUGCCGUAACUAACGCAUUAAGCGCCCCGCCUGGGGAGUACGGCCGCGAGGCUAAAACUCAAAGGAAUUGACGGGGGCCCGCACAAGCGGCGGAUCAUGUGGAUUAAUUCGAUGCAACGCGAACAACCUUACCUGGGUUUGACAUGCACUGGAUCGCCCCUGAGAGGGGGUUUCCCUUGUGGAUGGUGCACAGGUGGUGCAUGGCUGUCCUCAGCUCGUGUCGUGAGAUGUUGGGUUAAGUCCCGCAACGAGCGCAACCCUUGCCCUAUGUUGCCAGCGGGUGAUGCCGGGGACUCGUAUGGGACUGCCGGGGUCAACCCGGAGGAAGGUGGGGAUGACGUCAAGUCAUCAUGCCCCUUAUGCCCAGGGCUUCACACAUGCUACAAUGGCCGGUACAGAG
RNAcentral lists this ribosomal RNA (639 nucleotides) under uncultured bacterium. Its description in RNAcentral is "bacterial SSU rRNA". It matches the Rfam family "Bacterial small subunit ribosomal RNA", at positions 607 to 1244 of the family's 1533-position model. The record is from RNAcentral.